Molecule: ribosomal RNA, 392 nt
Filed under: uncultured bacterium
Lineage: Bacteria
Description: partial 16S ribosomal RNA
Rfam family: Bacterial small subunit ribosomal RNA
Source: RNAcentral
AUACGUAGGGGGCGAGCGUUGUCCGGAUUUAUUGGGCGUAAAGGGUGCGUAGGCGGCCUUGUAAGUCAGAUGUGAAAGAUCAUGGCUUAACUGUGGUAAGCAUUUGAAACUGCAGGGCUUGAGUACAGGAGAGGAGAGUGGAAUUCCUAGUGUAGCGGUGAAAUGCGUAGAUAUUAGGAGGAAUACCAGUGGCGAAGGCGACUCUCUGGACUGAUACUGACGAGGAGGCACGAAAUCGUUGGGAGCAAACAGGAUUAGAUACCCUGGUAGUCCACGCUAUAGACGAUGAGUGCUAGGUGUCGGGGGUCAAACCUCGGUGCCGCAGUUAACACAUUAAGCACUCCGCCUGGGGAGUACGGCCGCAAGGCUGAAACUCAAAGGAAUUGACGUGA